RNAcentral lists this ribosomal RNA (431 nucleotides) under uncultured bacterium. RNAcentral's name for it is "bacterial SSU rRNA". It matches the Rfam family "Bacterial small subunit ribosomal RNA", at positions 54 to 470 of the family's 1533-position model. The record is from RNAcentral.
CAUGCAAGUCGUACGAGAAAUCCUGGGCAACUGGGAGAGUAAAGUGGCGCACGGGUGAGUAACGUGUGGGUAACGUACCCUUGAAUUGGGGAUAACUCCUCGAAAGGGGAGUUAAUACCGAAUAAUAUUCCAAUUCCUCCGGGAGUCGGAAUCAAAGGUGGCCUCUACAUGAAAGCUAUCGUUUAAGGAUGGGCCCGCAUACCAUUAGCUAGUUGGUGGGGUAAUGGCCUACCAAGGCAACGAUGGUUAGCUGGUCUGAGAGGAUGCCCAGCCACACUGGAACUGAGACACGGUCCAGACUCCUACGGGAGGCAGCAGUGGGGAAUCUUGCGCAAUGGGGGAAACCCUGACGCAGCAACGCCGCGUGGAGGAUGAAAGCCUUCGGGUUGUAAACUCCUGUCAGAGGAGAAGAAUCUCCGAGCAAUCGGAGU